RNAcentral lists this transfer RNA (72 nucleotides) under Bos taurus (domestic cattle). It matches the Rfam family "tRNA". From Rfam's summary of the family: Transfer RNA (tRNA) molecules are approximately 80 nucleotides in length. Their secondary structure includes four short double-helical elements and three loops (D, anti-codon, and T loops). The record is from Rfam by way of RNAcentral. RNAcentral also lists the same sequence under 5 other names. Lineage: Eukaryota; Metazoa; Chordata; Mammalia; Artiodactyla; Bovidae.
UCCCUGGUAGCUCAGAGGGUAAAGAAUCUGCCUACAAUGCAGGAGACCCAGGUUUGAUCCCUGGGUGGGGAA